Molecule: ribosomal RNA, 1246 nt
Filed under: Staphylococcus simulans
Lineage: Bacteria; Bacillati; Bacillota; Bacilli; Caryophanales; Staphylococcaceae
Description: bacterial LSU rRNA
Rfam family: Bacterial large subunit ribosomal RNA
Source: RNAcentral
UCUAGCUAGAUAACUGGUGCCCGUACCGCAAACCGACACAGGUAGUCAAGAUGAGAAUUCUAAGGUGAGCGAGAGAACUCUCGUUAAGGAACUCGGCAAAAUGACCCCGUAACUUCGGGAGAAGGGGUGCUCUUUAGGGUUCACGCUCUGAAGAGCCGCAGUGAAUAGGCCCAAGCGACUGUUUAUCAAAAACACAGGUCUCUGCUAAACCGUAAGGUGAUGUAUAGGGGCUGACGCCUGCCCGGUGCUGGAAGGUUAAGAGGAGUGGUUAGCUUCUGCGAAGCUACGAAUCGAAGCCCCAGUAAACGGCGGCCGUAACUAUAACGGUCCUAAGGUAGCGAAAUUCCUUGUCGGGUAAGUUCCGACCCGCACGAAAGGCGUAACGAUUUGGGCACUGUCUCAACGAGAGACUCGGUGAAAUCAUAGUACCUGUGAAGAUGCAGGUUACCCGCGACAGGACGGAAAGACCCCGUGGAGCUUUACUGUAGCCUGAUAUUGAAAUUCGGCACAGCUUGUACAGGAUAGGUAGGAGCCUUAGAAGCGUGAGCGCCAGCUUACGUGGAGGCGCUGGUGGGAUACUACCCUAGCUGUGUUGGAUUUCUAACCCGCGCCAUUGAUCAUGGCGGGAGACAGUGUCAGGCGGGCAGUUUGACUGGGGCGGUCGCCUCCUAAAGUGUAACGGAGGCGCUCAAAGGUUCCCUCAGAAUGGUUGGAAAUCAUUCAUAGAGUGUAAAGGCAUAAGGGAGCUUGACUGCGAGACCUACAAGUCGAGCAGGGUCGAAAGACGGACUUAGUGAUCCGGUGGUUCCGCAUGGAAGGGCCAUCGCUCAACGGAUAAAAGCUACCCCGGGGAUAACAGGCUUAUCUCCCCCAAGAGUUCACAUCGACGGGGAGGUUUGGCACCUCGAUGUCGGCUCAUCGCAUCCUGGGGCUGUAGUCGGUCCCAAGGGUUGGGCUGUUCGCCCAUUAAAGCGGUACGCGAGCUGGGUUCAGAACGUCGUGAGACAGUUCGGUCCCUAUCCGUCGUGGGCGUAGGAAAUUUGAGAGGAGCUGUCCUUAGUACGAGAGGACCGGGAUGGACAUACCUCUGGUGUACCAGUUGUCGUGCCAACGGCAUAGCUGGGUAGCUAUGUAUGGACGGGAUAAGUGCUGAAAGCAUCUAAGCAUGAAGCCCCCCUCAAGAUGAGAUUUCCCAACUUCGGUUAUAAGAUCCCUCAAAGAUGAUGAGGUUAAUAGGUUCGGGGUG